Molecule: signal recognition particle RNA, 87 nt
Filed under: Labilithrix sp.
Lineage: Bacteria; Pseudomonadati; Myxococcota; Polyangiales; Labilitrichaceae
Also listed under: 1 other name
Description: signal recognition particle sRNA small type
Rfam family: Bacterial small signal recognition particle RNA
About the family: The signal recognition particle (SRP) is a universally conserved ribonucleoprotein involved in the co-translational targeting of proteins to membranes.
Source: RNAcentral
UGUGGCCCUGUCGACUCGGAAACGUGAACCCCGCCAGGCCCGAGAGGGAGCAACGGUAGCGCGGAAGGGUGUGACAGGGCCUUUCCU